This 459-nucleotide ribosomal RNA is filed under the name uncultured bacterium. Its description in RNAcentral is "partial 16S ribosomal RNA". It matches the Rfam family "Bacterial small subunit ribosomal RNA", at positions 339 to 795 of the family's 1533-position model. The record is from RNAcentral.
CUACGGGGCGCACCAGUGAGGAAUAUUGGUCAAUGGGCGCGAGCCUGAACCAGCCAUCCCGCGUGCAGGAUGACGGCCCUAUGGGUUGUAAACUGCUUUUCUAUGCCAAGAAACCCUGUUACGAGUAACAGGUUGCCGGUAGCAUAGGAAUAAGCAUCGGCUAACUCCGUGCCAGCAGCCGCGGUAAUACGGAGGAUGCAAGCGUUAUCCGGAUUCAUUGGGUUUAAAGGGUGCGCAGGUGGGCUUGUAAGUCAGUGGUGAAAUGCUGCCGCUUAACGGUAGAACUGCCAUUGAUACUGCGAGUCUAGAGUAUGGUUGAGGUAGGCGGAAUGUGUUGUGUAGCGGUGAAAUGCAUAGAUAUGACACAGAACGCCAAUUGCGAAGGCAGCUUACUAAGCCAUUACUGACGCUGAGGCACGAAAGCGUGGGGAGCGAACAGGAUUAGAUACCCCGGUAGUC